GGUGCAAAUGAUGUGUCUGUUAGUGACCAAAGCCUGACUUCGGUGAUUAGUCUUUACUGACUGACUGCACC
Small nucleolar RNA from Bison bison bison, 71 nucleotides. NCBI's taxonomy places the organism in Eukaryota, Metazoa, Chordata, Mammalia, Artiodactyla, Bovidae. The record is from Ensembl.